UCUCCUCUCCUUCGGGAGAACAGAAGGACGCCUGCGGCCUACGUAUUGAUCUCAAGCACAUCCUCUAAUAAACAUUUUGCAUGCUAAACUAUCUCCGAUAUUGCUCCUAGGAGACAUGUCAUGAUCCAAAUCAUGUAGCCACAUGACCAACCUGAGAACAAUGUUCAAUGUUAUCAUAAGAAAGAAGACAGGAGAGGUAAAGCAGAAAGCUAGGACACUGUUGCAAUUGAGAGAUACUGAGUAAAUGAUCUUGGAAAGAAAGAAGAAGCAAGUGUGGAAGACACAGCAGCAGAAGAAACAAGAGAUCUUACCAACUGAUUGAAUGUAUGACAAAAGUUGGGCUUCCCCAGUGGCUCAGCAGUAAAGAAUCUGUAUGCAAUGCAGAAGCCACAGGAGAAGCAGUUUGAUGAUCCCUGGGUUUGGAAGAUCCCCUGGAGGAGGGCAUAGCAACCCACUCCAAUAUUCUUCCCUUCUUCCCUGGAGAACCUCAUGAACAAAGGAGGCUAAUGGGCUACAGUCCAUAGAGUUGCAAAGUCGGACGAGACUGAAGCGACUGAGCAUGCACACAUGAUGCAAGUUGAAGAGUUAAACAGAACUUUGGCUUUUGGGCCAUGAGAAACAUAGAGUAAAUACCAUGCUACCUAUAAACAGAAACAGAGAAGUAUGAGAAAAGGUGUUUGGGAUAAAGGACUGUUGUAUUUGGUUUUGAAUAUAUUGAGUUAUACAGGUUUAAACAAAACUAGGAAUGAAAUGUGAAAAUAUUUAAAUAUUUUAAAGUAUUGUACUUAAAACAGAAAAAGAAAUUAGUCAAUUUAAACAGUAUAGGUAAUUUAAAUGGAGAAAGUUUUUACCCUGCAAUUGAGUAUUCGAUCAAAACUAUCAAAGAGUAAACAGAGUAAUUGAUUUUCCUGCUUUCUUCACUAUAAUGCAGUUGUAAUUUCAACCAAAUAUGACACUCUAUCUUCUUUUAAAUAUCUUCACAAAUACUAGAGGGAUGGCACAAUUAAUCCACAACAGUAGGUGGCACAAUUAAUCCACAACAGUAGGUAACACAAAAGAGCAGCUAUUUAAGAUACAUAUUAGGAGUUGGAUAUGAAAGUGCUGCACUCACUAUGCCAGCAAAUUUGGAAAAGUCAGCAGUGGCCACAGGACUGGAAAAGGUCA
Long non-coding RNA from Bubalus bubalis (water buffalo), 1164 nucleotides. RefSeq lists it as uncharacterized. The transcript is spliced from 3 exons. Lineage: Eukaryota; Metazoa; Chordata; Mammalia; Artiodactyla; Bovidae. The record is from RefSeq and is a predicted model, not a curated record.